Molecule: long non-coding RNA, 232 nt
Filed under: Elaeis guineensis (African oil palm)
Lineage: Eukaryota; Viridiplantae; Streptophyta; Magnoliopsida; Arecales; Arecaceae
Description: long non-coding RNA (EGUI_LNC026053)
Source: RNAcentral
AAUCAUUUGCUUGGCUAUUUUUCUCAUGGAUACAGUUGAUGUGGCAGAAUCAUAGUGAUGGUGUGUCGAACGACAGGAGAAGUCAUCGGCUAAGAUUUCUACCAUGUGUCGACAUCACCGAUGGUGGUGGAGUUCUCAGCAUCGAUCUUAACAAUUAAGCAUCUCUAUAAAUAAGGAGUCCCUUUUUUACCUACAGCUUUCUUCUUUUACGAUUGCAUUCACCCCCCACUCC